This 535-nucleotide ribosomal RNA is filed under the name Fusarium proliferatum. RNAcentral describes it as "eukaryotic LSU rRNA". The stretch from base 142 to 299 matches the Rfam family "5.8S ribosomal RNA". The record is from RNAcentral. Lineage: Eukaryota; Fungi; Ascomycota; Sordariomycetes; Hypocreales; Nectriaceae.
CGUACUUCACUCCCAACCCCUGUGAACAUACCAAUUGUUGCCUCGGCGGAUCAGCCCGCUCCCGGUAAAACGGGGGGCCCGCCGGAGGACCCCUAAACUCUGUUUCUAUAUGUAAUGGGAGGAGGGCCAUAAAUAAAUCAAAACUUUCAACAACGGAUCUCUUGGUUCUGGCAUCGAUGAAGAACGCAGCAAAAUUCGAGAUCGAUGACAGUCAAACUGCAGAAUUCAGUGAAUCAUCGAAUGGGGGGGCGCACAUUGCGCCCGCCAGUAUUCUGGCGGGCAUGCCUGUUCGAGCGUCAUUUCAACCCUCAAGCCCCCGGGUUUGGUGUUGGGGAUCGGCGAGCCCUUGCGGCAAGCCGGCCCCGAAAUCUAGUGGCGGUCUCGCUGCAGCUUCCAUUGCGUAGUAGUAAAACCCUCGCAACUGGUACGCGGCGCGGCCAAGCCGUUAAACCUUUCUAUUUUCUGAAUGUUGACCUCGGAUCAGGUAGGAAUACCCGCUGAACUUAGGGAUAUCAAUAAACCGGAGGCACCCCCC